This 891-nucleotide ribosomal RNA is filed under the name uncultured bacterium. RNAcentral's name for it is "bacterial SSU rRNA". It matches the Rfam family "Bacterial small subunit ribosomal RNA", at positions 26 to 898 of the family's 1533-position model. The record is from RNAcentral.
AGGACGAACGCUGGCGGCGUGCCUAACACAUGCAAGUCGAACGGAGUAUUCAGCAAUGGAUACUUAGUGGCGAACGGGUGAGUAACGCGUAGACAACCUGCCUUCUAGAUGGGGACAACACUGCGAAAGUGGUGCUAAUACCGAAUGUCGUAUCUUGUGCGCAUGUAUGAGAUACCAAAGGUGGCCUCUGAAAAUGCUACCGCUAGAAGAUGGGUCUGCGUCUGAUUAGCUAGUUGGUGAGGUAAUGGCUCACCAAGGCGACGAUCAGUAGCCGGUCUGAGAGGAUGAACGGCCACACUGGGACUGAGACACGGCCCAGACUCCUACGGGAGGCAGCAGUGGGGAAUCUUCCGCAAUGGACGAAAGUCUGACGGAGCAACGCCGCGUGAGUGAAGAAGGUUUUCGGAUCGUAAAGCUCUGUCUUUUAGGACGAAUGUACGCUAUGUAAAUAAUGUAGUGUAAUGACGGUACUGAAGGAGGAAGCCACGGCUAACUACGUGCCAGCAGCCACGGUAAUACGUAGGUGGCGAGCGUUGUCCGGAAUCAUUGGGCGUAAAGGGCGCGUAGGCGGGAUGAUAAGUCCGUCUUAAAAGUUCGGGGCUCAACCCCGUGAUGGGAUGGAAACUGUCAUUCUUGAGUGCAGGAGAGGAAAGUGGAAUUCCCAGUGUAGCGGUGAAAUGCGUAGAUAUUGGGAGGAACACCAGUGGCGAAGGCGACUUUCUGGACUGUGUCUGACGCUGAGGCGCGAAAGCUAGGGAAGUGAACGGGAUUAGAUACCCCGGUAAUCCUAGCCGUAAACGAUGGGUACUAGGUGUAGAGGGUAUCGACCCCUUCUGUGCCGGAGUUAACGCAAUAAGUACCCCGCCUGGGGAGUACGGCCGCAAGGUUGAA